Molecule: ribosomal RNA, 821 nt
Filed under: Borysthenes sp. PCC-2008
Lineage: Eukaryota; Metazoa; Arthropoda; Insecta; Hemiptera; Borysthenidae
Description: eukaryotic LSU rRNA
Rfam family: Eukaryotic large subunit ribosomal RNA
Source: RNAcentral
UAACAACUCNCCUGCCGAAGCAACUAGCCNUGAAAAUGGAUGGCGCUCUAGCGUCGUGCCUAUACCGGGCCGUCAACGGCAAAGUGGGCGUCCUCCCUUCAAGGGCGGAGCCGUUACGCCUUGACGAGUAGGAGGGUCGCGGCGGUGUGCGCAGAAGGGUCGGGGCGUGAGCCCGCCUGGAGCCGCCGUCGGCGCAGAUCUUGGUGGUAGUAGCAAAUACUCUAGCGAGGGCCUGGAGGACUGACGUGGAGAAGGGUUUCUUGUGAACAGCCGUUGCACAAGAGUCAGUCGACCCUAAGCCCUAGGAGAAAUCCGAUGUUGAUGGGUGGCUGGACACAAAAAAAGACGGCCCCAGAUAGACGUCUCUAACCCUGCUCCUUCAUCUCGUCCGCGAGAGAUAGAUGCCUGUGGAAGGGUCCUCUCUUUCUGUGGGCCCAUUGUGACAAACCAUCCCGUCGGGCAAAAGGGAAUCCGGUUCCUAUUCCGGAACCCGGCUGCGGAACCGUCACUCUGCGGGCACUCGCCUGCGAGCGCUCGUCGGGGUAACCCAAACUGGCCCGGAGACGCCGGCGGGGGGUCUGGAAAGAGUUUUCUUUUCUUUAUAAGCGUUCGAGUACCCUGGAAUCCUAUAGCAGGGAGAUAGGGUUUGGAACGCGAAGAGCACCGCAGUUGCGGCGGUGUCCGGACCUUCCCCCCGGACCUUGAAAAUCCGGGUGAGGGCUACGCGGAAGUCGCGCCGGAUCGUACCCAUAUCCGCAGCAGGUCUCCAAGGUUAAGAGCCUCUAGUCGAUAGAAUAAUGUAGGUAAGGGAAGUCGGCAAA